RNAcentral lists this long non-coding RNA (489 nucleotides) under Helianthus annuus (common sunflower). The record is from RNAcentral. Lineage: Eukaryota; Viridiplantae; Streptophyta; Magnoliopsida; Asterales; Asteraceae.
UGACCCUGCCACAACCCUUCUAAGAUCCGCCUAUGCGUGGGUGGUGCAUGCGUUAUGUGGGGGAGGCACAUAUCAGAACUAUAAAAAAGUGUUGAGAUCUAGAGGAUCGUGUCCGUCAAGCAUUGGUGCUGACCAACCUGCUGAUGUGGAUGCGGAUCUCGAAGACCAUCUGCUUUUCUUGUCAUGGGUCUCAUCAGCAUACAAGGAGAGAAUGAGACUUUGCCCUUGUGCUUAGAAGUUUAUUUGGCUAGCAACUUAAUGGAUGUUGAUUAAAUUGAGUUGUGAGCCUAAGGUACUGAAGCUGGAUAACUGAGGGGCUUAAGGUGUAUACUAUGAUAAGAUAAGGACGCAAUGUGAUAAAGAUUGAAAGAUAAUGAGUGUAUAUUCCAAAUCAUUGUCUUCGUUGUCCAAGUUCAUCUCUACCGUUGUCUAUAUUUCUCUUUCUAGUUUAAUAUGUUUGAAAAGGGAAUUGAGAUCUUAGGACUUUUU